GUCUAUGGCCAUGCCACCCUGAACAUGCCCGAUCCCAUCUGAUCUUGGAAGCUAAGCAGGGUCAGGCCUCAUUAGUACUUGGAUGGGAGACCACCCAGGAAGACCAGGUGCCAUAGGCA
Molecule: ribosomal RNA, 119 nt
Filed under: Pteropus alecto (black flying fox)
Lineage: Eukaryota; Metazoa; Chordata; Mammalia; Chiroptera; Pteropodidae
Also listed under: 1 other name
Source: RNAcentral